Non-coding RNA from Paramuricea clavata, 361 nucleotides. Lineage: Eukaryota; Metazoa; Cnidaria; Anthozoa; Malacalcyonacea; Plexauridae. The record is from the annotation of a GenBank genome assembly.
CUUGUAUACAUUGGUUUCUUUGUCAUAUAGUUCAAUUGCUGUUGCUUGUAAAUGUUUUAUAAACCAGUACUGCGAAGUAGCGAAAUUUCGGGCCGUCUUUCACAACAAAUAACAUCACAAUAACUGCACAUCAUUUUCUCUUUAAUACAGAAUCAUUUUCCCCAUCCAUUGAGUUAUAAUUUCCAAAACGAACCACUCGCUAUAACGUAAAAUAAGCGGGUAUUUGUGAACAAAAAUGCCCUUUGAUAUAUAAACACGAGGUAACCAGCGCCAUCUUGUCUUCUCCAAACAUUACAGAUUUUCCCGCCAAAACCCGCCCCCAAAGUCCCGUAUGUACCUGACGUCACAAGUGUCAUGGACG